Molecule: long non-coding RNA, 301 nt
Filed under: Manihot esculenta (cassava)
Lineage: Eukaryota; Viridiplantae; Streptophyta; Magnoliopsida; Malpighiales; Euphorbiaceae
Description: long non-coding RNA (MESC_LNC011726)
Source: RNAcentral
UUGAGAGAGUCAAGGUGAUAACAAAUGAGAUAGGGGCGGAUGACAGUAGAGCCAUUCAGAUGGCUGGGUUCACAUUAAAAUGUAAGAAGGCCCGUGAAUGGUUCAAGAACUAUGUGAACCCUAGGGUGGACAGUAUGUCUUGGGAGGAGUUUGCCAACGAGUUUGCGGGAUGGGCUUUCCCUGAAAGCUCCAGAGAGCUGAAGAUGAUUGAAUUUGAACAGUUGAGGCAAACAGAUGAAAUGAGUGUAGAUGAAUAUACUGACAAGUUUAUGGAGUUGCUGCCAUUUGCUGGGCAGAACUU